AGAGUUUGAUCCUGGCUCAGGAUGAACGCUGGCGGCGUGCUUAACACAUGCAAGUCGAACGAUCCUUCGGGAUAGUGGCGGACGGGUGAGUAACGCGUGGGAAUCUGCCCUCAGGAGGGGGAUAACGGCUGGAAACGGCCGCUAAUACCCCAUAUGCCGAGAGGUGAAAUGAAUUUCGCCUGAGGAUGAGCCCGCGUCUGAUUAGCUAGUUGGUGGGGUGAAGGCCUACCAAGGCAACGAUCAGUAGCUGGUCUGAGAGGAUGAUCAGCCACACUGGGACUGAGACACGGCCCAGACUCCUACGGGAGGCAGCAGUGGGGAAUUUUCCGCAAUGGGCGAAAGCCUGACGGAGCAACGCCGCGUGAGGGAUGAAGGCCUCUGGGCUGUAAACCUCUUUUCUCAAGGAAGAAGACCUGACGGUACUUGAGGAAUAAGCCACGGCUAAUUCCGUGCCAGCAGCCGCGGUAAUACGGGAGUGGCAAGCGUUAUCCGGAAUUAUUGGGCGUAAAGCGUCCGCAGGCGGCCUUGUAAGUCUGUUGUUAAAGCGUGGAGCUCAACUCCAUUUAAGCAAUGGAAACUACAAGGCUGGAGUGUGGUAGGGGCAGAGGGAAUUCCCGGUGUAGCGGUGAAAUGCGUAGAUAUCGGGAAGAACACCAGUGGCGAAGGCGCUCUGCUGGGCCAUAACUGACGCUCAUGGACGAAAGCCAGGGGAGCGAAAGGGAUUAGAUACCCCUGUAGUCCUGCCGUAAACGAUGAACACUAGGUGUUGGGGGAAUCGACCCCCUCGGUGUCGUAGCCAACGCGUUAAGUGUUCCGCCUGGGGAGUACGCACGCAAGUGUGAAACUCAAAGGAAUUGACGGGGGCCCGCACAAGCGGUGGAGUAUGUGGUUUAAUUCGAUGCAACGCGAAGAACCUUACCAGGGUUUGACAUCCUGCGAACCCCUGAGAAAUCGGGGGGUGCCUUCGGGAGCGCAGAGACAGGUGGUGCAUGGCUGUCGUCAGCUCGUGUCGUGAGAUGUUGGGUUAAGUCCCGCAACGAGCGCAACCCACGUCUUUAGUUGCCAGCAUUCAGUUGGGCACUCUAGAGAGACCGCCGGUGAUAAACCGGAGGAAGGUGUGGAUGACGUCAAGUCAUCAUGCCCCUUACAUCCUGGGCUACACACGUACUACAAUGCUACGGACAAAGGGCAGCAAGCUCGCGAGAGUUAGCAAAUCCCAUAAACCGUGGCUCAGUUCAGAUCGUAGGCUGCAACUCGCCUACGUGAAGGAGGAAUCGCUAGUAAUCGCAGGUCAGCAUACUGCGGUGAAUACGUUCCCGGGCCUUGUACACACCGCCCGUCACACCAUGGAAGCUGGUCACGCCCGAAG
Molecule: ribosomal RNA, 1369 nt
Filed under: metagenome
Description: bacterial SSU rRNA
Rfam family: Bacterial small subunit ribosomal RNA
Source: RNAcentral